RNAcentral lists this ribosomal RNA (643 nucleotides) under uncultured bacterium. Its description in RNAcentral is "bacterial SSU rRNA". It matches the Rfam family "Bacterial small subunit ribosomal RNA", at positions 110 to 749 of the family's 1533-position model. The record is from RNAcentral.
GUAAUGUCUGGGAAACUGCCUGAUGGAGGGGGAUAACUACUGGAAACGGUAGCUAAUACCGCAUAACGUCGCAAGACCAAAGAGGGGGACCUUCGGGCCUCUUGCCAUCAGAUGUGCCCAGAUGGGAUUAGCUAGUAGGUGGGGUAACGGCUCACCUAGGCGACGAUCCCUAGCUGGUCUGAGAGGAUGACCAGCCACACUGGAACUGAGACACGGUCCAGACUCCUACGGGAGGCAGCAGUGGGGAAUAUUGCACAAUGGGCGCAAGCCUGAUGCAGCCAUGCCGCGUGUAUGAAGAAGGCCUUCGGGUUGUAAAGUACUUUCAGCGGGGAGGAAGGCGAUAAGGUUAAUAACCUUGUCGAUUGACGUUACCCGCAGAAGAAGCACCGGCUAACUCCGUGCCAGCAGCCGCGGUAAUACGGAGGGUGCAAGCGUUAAUCGGAAUUACUGGGCGUAAAGCGCACGCAGGCGGUCUGUCAAGUCGGAUGUGAAAUCCCCGGGCUCAACCUGGGAACUGCAUUCGAAACUGGCAGGCUAGAGUCUUGUAGAGGGGGGUAGAAUUCCAGGUGUAGCGGUGAAAUGCGUAGAGAUCUGGAGGAAUACCGGUGGCGAAGGCGGCCCCCUGGACAAAGACUGACGCUCA